This 466-nucleotide ribosomal RNA is filed under the name uncultured bacterium. RNAcentral's name for it is "partial 16S ribosomal RNA". It matches the Rfam family "Bacterial small subunit ribosomal RNA", at positions 28 to 507 of the family's 1533-position model. The record is from RNAcentral.
GAUGAACGCUGGCGGCGUGCUUAACACAUGCAAGUCGAACGAUGAAGCCCAGCUUGCUGGGUGGAUUAGUGGCGAACGGGUGAGUAACACGUGAGUAACCUGCCCUUAACUCUGGGAUAAGCCUGGGAAACUGGGUCUAAUACCGGAUAGGAGCGUCCACCGCAUGGUGGGUGUUGGAAAGAUUUAUCGGUUUUGGAUGGACUCGCGGCCUAUCAGCUUGUUGGUGAGGUAAUGGCUCGCCAAGGCGACGACGGGUAGCCGGCCUGAGAGGGUGACCGGCGCCACUGUGACUGAGAGACGGCGCAGAGACUUAUGGGGGACAGAGGUGGGGAAAAUUGUGCACUGGGGGCGAGAGCGAGACAGAGACGCGGCGUGUGGGAUGACGGGGUUUUGGUGUUGAAAACCUCUCGGUAGAGAAGAAGCGAGAGUGACGGUAUCUGUAGAAGAGGAACAGGCUAACUACGUG